ACGUUCUCGGAUGAGUUAUCUUAGUUGAUGGGUUUAUUCAGUAAGUUCGACUAAAAAAGAUUUUUUUUUUCUUGCGGAAUUAGCGAACAACUUUGGUUUGUCUCUGAUAGUAUGCUUAUCUUGGGUUUAAAAUAUGCAAACUAGACAUAAUGCGCAUUGGGCUAAUAUUAUAUUGUAAUUUGUUAAGAUACUUGGAUAUUGUUCAAAACUUUGUCAGCAUUGUUGGUGCGGAGAUCCAUAGCUGAUAACUUAUUUGCACUAUUAUGCAAAUUUAGCUUCAAGUUUGGUGAAAAUGCUUAUAAUAGGCUGAGCAGUAUUCCGUGUCAUCGGUCACUUAAGGUGCAUGACCAGAUCAACUAGUGUCAACUGCCAUUAUAAUUGAGAUGGGGGAUGGUAUAUUGAGGAUGAGCACCUACAAAAUAUGUUGG
This 428-nucleotide long non-coding RNA is filed under the name Phoenix dactylifera (date palm). Its description in RNAcentral is "long non-coding RNA (PDAC_LNC019067)". Lineage: Eukaryota; Viridiplantae; Streptophyta; Magnoliopsida; Arecales; Arecaceae. The record is from RNAcentral.